Molecule: ribosomal RNA, 101 nt
Filed under: uncultured bacterium
Lineage: Bacteria
Description: partial 16S ribosomal RNA
Source: RNAcentral
CGUUCUCGGGUCUUGUACACACCGCCCGUCAAGUGAGCCGAGUUGGGGGUAGCUGAAGCGGUCCUUUAUGGACUUCGAGGCUAAAUUCAGCGAGGAGCGCU